GAUGAACGCUGGCGGCGUGCCUAAUACAUGCAAGUCGAGCGAACGGACGAGAAGCUUGCUUCUCUGAUGUUAGCGGCGGACGGGUGAGUAACACGUGGAUAACCUACCUAUAAGACUGGGAUAACUUCGGGAAACCGGAGCUAAUACCGGAUGACAUUUUGAACCGCAUGGUUCAAAAGUGAAAGACGGUCUUGCUGCCACUUAUAGAUGGAUCCGCGCUGCAUUAGCUAGUUGGUAAGGUAACGGCUUACCAAGGCAACGAUGCAUAGCCGACCUGAGAGGGUGAUCGGCCACACUGGAACUGAGACACGGUCCAGACUCCUACGGGAGGCAGCAGUAGGGAAUCUUCCGCAAAGGGCGAAAGCCUGACGGAGCAACGCCGCGUGAGUGAUGAAGGUCUUCGGAUCGUAAAACUCUGUUAUUAGGGAAGAACAUAUGUGUAAGUAACUGUGCACAUCUUGACGGUACCUAAUCAGAAAGCCACGGCUAACUACGUG
This 497-nucleotide ribosomal RNA is filed under the name uncultured bacterium. RNAcentral's name for it is "partial 16S ribosomal RNA". It matches the Rfam family "Bacterial small subunit ribosomal RNA", at positions 28 to 507 of the family's 1533-position model. The record is from RNAcentral.